Molecule: long non-coding RNA, 12638 nt
Filed under: Setaria viridis
Lineage: Eukaryota; Viridiplantae; Streptophyta; Magnoliopsida; Poales; Poaceae
Description: long non-coding RNA (SVIR_LNC002123)
Source: RNAcentral
CGGGUGAGCCGCGCCGCAGCUUUAAAUGUGCCGAAAUAGCUGCGAUCCUCUCCCCUGGUGCGCGUGCCCUGACCUUUUGUGCGGGUUUAGCUGCUCCUCGGGGUUGCUUAGCUGGGGACGGAUUGAGACGCGAGGAUUAGGGUUUGGAGUUCGCGGUGGAGGAGGGCGCAGAUGUUGCUACCGUGUGGGCUUGUACUGGAGUUAAAAUGCUUUGGUUGGUUUGUAAGAGAGAUGGUUCCAUUUGUCCGGUUUCAAAAAUCAGAGUUGUCAGAUUUGAUAGUGCAAUGUGAUUGCUGGGUAUUAUUUGAAGUUGAUGCAGCUGCCUGAGUAGUGAACUGUGCAAUGUGAUUGCUUAAUGAUAUAUUCGACUUUGCUAUUCUACUUGUGCGUUGUUGCUCAUUUUAGCGGCAAUUGUAACUAAUGUCAAAAUUCUGUCCAUUCAUUCACGAAAUAAUUUUGUUUACUGUAAAAUAAUUAGUACUGCUACCAGCGUGCAGGCCUUUAGUUACCUGCGAGGCCUUAAUUUUUGAAAAGUUUGGUUUAGCUGAUAGAGCUAUGUGUGCUAUGAUUGCUUCAUGGUACGACAGUUCUUUCUUAGCAAUUGAUUUCCUUACCUCAUGCUUACUAGAUUCAUAUAGUGGAGGGUGCUAAUUAUUAGAACACCGUGCUGAAAGUGCCAAUUUAUCAUCAUCUGAACUAUGAUUUAUCUUCAUUGUCCUGUAAAACCAUGAGCUGCUAUGCGUAAACCACAGCUUAAGUUAUUGCUGUCAAAGUUGAGUGAAUGCAAUUGGUCAUUUGCUGCUGUGCUGCAUUUGGUAACCAAUGUAGUCCGCUAUAUAUACCUGUGAAAUCAGGUCCUUUCUUAAAAGCUAGAUCUUCUGAAGUUGUAGUGCUUUGUUUUCAUAUAAAUAUAAAAUGUGUUAACAUGGUUCAAUAUGUUCACGGGAGAUAUCUUUAAGUUUCCUGUUUGAAACUCGAUUUGAGCAAUCUAAGUACAGGGUAUCAUGGUCUCUAAGCUACUGUAUUGAAAAUUAGAAAAAAAACAUGUUCAAUCUUGGUUAUUUGUCAGGAAAAAUGCAUAAAAUUCCUUGUAAUUCUUGUUGAGAAAAUAUCAUUGAAUGUGGGCUUAGUAAAUGAGCUGGGGAAUCUAGAUUUUGUUCACAUUGAAAGUGAACCUGCAGCCUUUUAUAACUACCAGAGUUAGUAUGGCUGUCUGGUUUGACACCAUUAGCAAGUUGCUGUACUUUGUGAUUAUCCUCCCAGCCUGUUGCAGAUGAAUUUAUUAACUGAUUAAUGCUAGAUUAGGUAAUAACUGCACAAUCUGACUUGGAAUAUAACAGCACACUAGCAUCUUGUUCUUUCGGCGAAUUCCACCUGUAUUAAAACCAAGUUAUGUACAUGUACCACCUGCAUUUCAUUUGAUGUAUAUUUUAAAUUGUAUUAGAACCAAGUUUAAGGCUUAGAUCAAAUAAUUAUUGGAGACCAGUCUAGAUGAACUUUGCUGUACAUGCUGACAAUAUGACUUUGUGGGAAGCUGACAGAACAUGUUUUUGGUCUAUGCAUUAAGGUACACCGAGAUAAAAGUUCUUCUAGCCGAUAACGACACAUUUGCUCUACAUGCUGAUAAUAUGACAAUCAGGAGCAUUCUGGUGGAUGGUGAAACUGUUGAGUUUGACUAUUCCCCUCAUUGGAAAAAUGAAGGUGAUCAACCAAAUUGGUCUUCAAUAUCAUGUUUGAAGACUGCUGCUGAUGCUGCAUGCUCAACAUAUACUUUGGCUCUAAAUCGAGAAUCUGUACCAAAUCUUAUUGUGUCAUAUGAGAGAUCGGUCAAGUCGAUCACUGAGCAGCAGGUAGAAGAAAACAGUGAAAGGCAUGAAGAAAAUAGUAGAAUGCUUGAAGAACAUGGUGGGAAACCUGUUCAAACUUCUGAUGAUCAAACUGUUAAUGGCUGCAAUGGUUCUGCAGUGGAAGAGCAAAAGGAAAGGGAAAAUGGAAAUGGAAAUGGAAGUGAGAAGGUCAAAGAAAAUGGAAUUGAAACUGAAAAUGAAAAGGUAGGAUGAAGUUUUCAUAAUAAACACUAGUUAGCAGCUAUUUACAUAUGGAUUUGUGGAGACAUGAUACCUCAUUGCAAUAAAUUGUAGGUGAAGAACAUAAAACUGGUUCACAUAGAUUAUAUUUUGGAGAAGGCUGAAACUGGCAUUCACUUCGUCGGCAAUGUUCUGCAUAGCAGUAGUCAGAUAAGACGGGCACAUUGUUGGUUUCCUUGCAUUGAUAGCACCACACAACGCUGUCCGUAAGUUAAAUUUAUUUCUUCCCUGCUUGCAAGUCUUGAAAUUAUACUUUCUUUCGCAUGCGAAUAAUUAUUUUUAUAUUAUAAUACCCAGAUUUGACCUAGAGUUUACAGUUAGCACGGAUUUAAUCGCUGUCAGCAACGGUGACUUACUUUACCAGGUAUGCAUUCAAUCUUGAUUGACAAUGGGGGUCUAGAGGCAAAGUACUCAUUAAGUUCCCCAUUUUAUAACAAGAACUAACUUAUGUAAAAUGAAAAGGAAUGUCUUUUAGUUUCUAGUAAACUUGCUAUUACAGUUUGUUAGCAAAUGUUUCUUUGUGACUGUUUCAUGAUGAUCUCUUUUUUGUACUGUUUCAUGAUCUUAGGUCUUUCUUAUUCAUGUUCUGCUUAUGCUACAUCAUGCAGGUCUUAAGCAAGGAAGAUCCUUCAAAAAAAACUUAUGUGUAUAAAUUGAACACUCCUGUUAGUGCACAGUGGAUAUCCUUGGUUGUUGGGCCACUUGAAGUUCUCCCUGACAGGAAUGACAUAAGUGUCUCACACAUCUGUUUAUCCCCUGCUUUGUCAAAGCUUCAGAACACAAUCGCAUUUUUCCACGAUGCAUACAGGUGUUGAUUUUACUAGUAUCUCAACAAACAAAAAUGCUUGGCUCAGUGUUGCUUUUACUAGUAUCUUAAAAAGCUCCUUUUUUUUUUACUGAUUUUGCACUUUGGUGAUAGUAUUUCUGCUGUUAUCAUUUUGGCAGCUGUUAUGAAGACUAUCUUGCUGCAUCAUUCCCCUUGGGUUUGUACAAGCAGAUUUUUCUUCCACCUGAAAUGACAGUAUUACCAACAAGCUUAGGCGCCUCCACAUGCAUAUUCAGUUCAGAUAUCUUGCACGACGAGAAGGUUAUAGAUCAGGUGCGUCUCUCGUUCCAUCUCAGGUUGGCCAACAAUUCGACGCACGAGAUGUGAAUGUGUAUGCGUUCAUUAUUAGAGCAUGCUUAUCAAUUUAGUAAUUCUUGAUUUCGCUAAUUUCCUCGUUAGUUUUUUUCCUUUCCCUCUUGUUAGUAAGAGCACGUAACAUCAGUAAGCAAUGCAAUAAUGCAUAACUUCUGUGAGUAGUGGAAGCUCUUGUUCCAUCAGUAUUUUUUAUUUCAACCGCACGCAUGUUGUGUACUUUCUUGUACAACACUUCAUGCUUGUUAAUUUGAUCAAUUAGCUUGGCACCUCUCCAGCAGCUGGCAGUAAAUAUGUUUAUGAAAAAUUAUGAGUUAUAUUAUUUUUGCUGUAUAGUGCUUUGUGAACCUGUCGUCCUUGGAUAGUAGUGUGGGGAAAUCUGCAAUCCAUGUGCUUGAACUAUAACCCACUGUUACUAUUACUUUUUCUUACUAGGGCUAAUACCUUGUUACUCUUUUAUCCCCUUAAUUGGUGACUCUUGGUAAUGCUUUUAAACCUGCAUUCCAGUGUGGACAUGUCCAUGUUAAGUUUUACUUAUGUUCAGCAUUUUGUGGUAUUCUUUUCGAAUAUUUCAAUUAACAUAUCUUGCUGAGAUAUAAACUUUCACUGUCGUGACUAACUUGGAAAAUAGUUCAGAUAAUUGGCACAAGAAUCAAACUAGCUUAUGCCCUUGCAAGGCAAUGGUUUGGAAUAUACACAAGUGCAGAGGAGCCCAAUGAUGGUAAUUCAUCUCUACCUGUUAAUUUAUGUAGCUAUUACUUGCUACUUCCUCCGUCUCAAAUUACUAUUCGUUUUGACUUUUCUAGAUGCAUCACUUUUGCUAUGUAUCUAGACAUAAGUAUAUAUCUAGGUGCAUAUCAAAAGGUGUAUCUAGAAAAGCUCAAAUGAAUAGUAAUUUGGGACGGAGGGAGUACAUAGGUAAAACAUUGCUGACAAAUAAUUUCCUGCUGGAGCAGAAUGGCUGUUGGAUGGUUUGGCUGGUUUUCUUGCUGAAUUAUUUAUCAAGCGUUUCCUUGGGAGUAAUGAGGCACGGUAUAGGCGUUUCAAGGUUUGUCUUCUUACGAAAAACACAUAUGAUGCAUUUUGUUAUUAUGGAAUGAAAUUCAGAACGUGGUUCAGUGAGAUCGCAUAGAUUUUUAUAUUAUUCGUAAUUGUGUUUCAGACCUAAUUCAAUGGGAACCUUUAAUGUUUAUAAAAAACUCGACCAACUUAGGAGCAGCUAGGUGGCAUUGUAAAUAAGAAAUAGGUACCCAAUUUCGUCUUGUGCAAUAGAUCCUAUAUAUUUAUCAUAUGUAUUAGGAAUGUAUUCAGAAUUGUUUGUACUUUUGUUUAGUCAAAAACCUGAAAAUUAUUAAUAGUUGAAUAGAGAUGUCUCAUUUUCCCUGCAAUUAUUUUCCUACAAAGGAAGACUGGACUUGGAGUAUACUAACACCGUAUAUGUUAAUAACGAAAAAGUUGCUACAAAGCUAUUGGUCUCUGUGAUGUCAUUGUUAUCAGAAUUGUGGUAUGCCGUUCAGCACAUAGUUAAUUUUUUAACCUAUCCUUGUAUGGUAAUUUAUCUUGUUACUAUAAUCUGUGAUAGUUAAAGUAGAAAUUGGACCUUCAGUUCUUGAAGUAGGUUUCCGUGCCUGCUCUCCAAAUGCACAUUGGUUGGAUGGGGAAAAACAUUCAUACAUUUAUUCAGAAUGAAUUAAUGGCUUUGCUGUUGCAAUUGUUCCUUCAGCCAUGCAUGUAUAUCUUCGUUCAACUAACAUGAUUGUUGAAUAUCUUUAUUAACAUCUAGUUUUGGAUUUGUAACAGGCUAACUGCAAUGUAUGUGAGUCUGAUGUUAGUGGUGCAACUGCUUUGAGCUCUCCUGCUGCUUCAAGUGAUCUAUACGGAACUCAAACGAUUGGUUCAUAUGGGAAAGUUCGUUUGUUGAAGGCAGUAAGUUUUGAGCAUUUGAACUCUGGAAUUCGCUUACAUGCAUUGUUCGCUCAAUUCAUUUUAUUUUCUGAAUUUUGAACAGGUAGCUGUACUUCAAAUGUUGGAGAAGCAGAUGGGGCCAGACUCCUUUCGGAAGGUAUUUGCAUCUUUGAUUUACUACUGUUAAUCUUUAUUUACAUAAUUUGAGCACUUUUGACUAAGUAACUGAAUUGAUACUGAGAAGUACAUGACUAUUCAUGAUAGGAAUUACUGAGUUUCUGAUACUAAUCCUUUAUCGUUUCUAGUUAGAAUAUAGAUAGCUUCCUAUAGACUGAUAUCGUUCCCAAUUUCAGAUUUUGCAGGUGAUAGUGGCUCCAAAUCGUGCCUCGAGAACACUUAGUACGAAAGAGGUAUAACAAGUUGGCAGUUGGCUGGCUCUAUAAUGUUAUUUUGGUCAAUUCCAUAGCAUCUAUCUACAUAUCUUUCCAUCCCUUAACCAAGGUAGCCUCACUUGUUGAUGGGAAUAUAUAUAUGGACAUCAAUUUAGCAAGGGUAGAAUAGGAUGAAAUAAAAUGAAUGUGCCCCAGAGUUGUAGGGCCUAUAUUCUCUAAAAGUUUUUAGCGCUAAAAAAGUUCCACUUGCAAUCGAAGCAAGAACUUACAUUUUUGGGCUGGUGCUACGACUGAGGACUAGCACAGUAGCAGCAUAUGGUUUUACUUGUGACAUCAUUUUUGGGCUGGUACUACGACUGAGGACUAGCACAGUAGCAGCAUAUGGUUUUACUCAUGACAUCAUUAAUCUGCUUCCUGGGCCCACAGUGUGUGGUCUUACUUAUGAUGGCAUUACAUUGUAAUGUGGGAUGUUUCUGCACACUGUAUAUUAAUUGAUUCUAUGGAUUUAGCAUGUAAUAUAGAUUUCUGCACUAAUGUUGUUGACAAAUAGACACCUGUAAUAUUUAGCAGCAAAAUUGAACUCCACAGAGACUUGAAUUUAUUGUUUUACUUCCUCUUAAUUCAGUUCAGACACCUUGCAAAUAAGGUUGGCAACCUCGAACGCCCAUUCCUUAAAGAAUUCUUUCCACGAUGGGUUGAAUCUUGUGGAUGUCCAGUUAUGAGGUGAAUGAACUUAUUUGUUGCUUGCAUGUAGCCACUUUCAACAUUCUUUUAUUCAUUAUCUCCUUGUACUUAACUCCGUAUCAUUCUUCUUGGAAGAUUGGGAAUCUCAUAUAGUAAAAAACGGAAUAUGAUUGAAUUAGCCGUUUCAAGGGGUUGCACUGCAAAAGCUACACCUGAUUCUGAUAGUCAUACCAACGGUGACACUCGAGAAGGUGAUGCUGGAUGGCCAGGAAUGAUGAGUGUACGGGUUCAUGAAACUGAUGGGGCUUACGAUCAUCCAGUUCUGCCAAUGGCUGGUGAAGCUUUGCAGGUGGUGGAAAUACAGUGUCAUUCCAAACUAGCAGCGAAGCGCGUUUGGAAAUCGAAAAAAAGCACCAAAUUUGAUGGUUCUGAUGACAACAUAGAUGUCCCUACUCAAGAAAACCGCACAAGGUCUAUUUCCACAAAUCUGCCUUUUCAUCUAUUAUUUACUCAUUUCCCCAUUUUUUUGAUAUCUCACUUGCAUAGCUGACGUAUGCAGCGUGGAUUCACCUUUACUAUGGAUUAGAGUAGACCCAGAGAUGGAAUAUCUCGCUGAGAUCCAUUUUCACCAACCUGUUCAGAUGUGGGUGCGUAUUACCAUAUAAGCUUAUUAUUUAUUGAUAAAAGGGGACUCCUGUAUUUCGUCUAUUUGAAAUUGAUUAUUAUUGAUGAUAUUGGACACAUGGAGUAAGUAGAUGCUGAAAAAUUUCUAUGGUUGGUAAUUUAAGAUGUUUAACAUGAGAGGAGGCCUCCCCUCUCUUCUAAUCUACAUAUUUCCCAAAUUCAUCGUGUCAGCACUUAAUAAUGAAGAUUCAGCUAUGAGAUGUGCUAGUACUGUUGUAGUUUUCUAGGUAUCUAGGAGAUUCACUAAGUCAGGCUGUCAGACUCUUUCCUUUGAGACUCUGAAUCCUUUAUACCUAUUUCCUGAAGGUAGUUAGAUGUUCAAGCUUGUUUCAUGAGUCAUGACUACUUCAAGAUAAGUGUUAGUGCUGUAGUGCAUCACUUGUGCAGCCUCUGGUACAUAUCGCAUCUUCUAAAGUGUUACCAGGACGUGGCUGCCUUUCUAUCUUUCAGAUUUUCAGACAUGUCUACUGUUAUCUUGCUUCCUUGGUGAUUCAGGAACAGAAGUGUUUAUUAUCUGGUGAAGUAGGCGUUAGAUUAGGAUAAGUGUCCAUAAUGGUGAUGGAAGUUUCCAAAAUAAGAUUUUGAUAAGUAAACUAGCUUGUGCAUUUCCUUUGUCCCUCAAUCUUUUCAAUAUGAUACAUUGUAUCAGUAUUCUAGGUUUUGAAUAGAACAUAACAUUAAUGAUCAAUUGAAUAUGAUGUUAGGAUCAAGAAAUGUAUGUUCUUUUCUCUCCUGUUUUAUUUCAAAUUUUGAACCAUCUGGCAGAUCAAUCAAUUGGAGAAAGACAAGGAUGUUAUAUCACAAUCGCAGGCAAUAUCUGUACUGGAGAAAUUACCUCAGCUUUCUUCUGCUGUGAUUAAUGCCCUCAAUAAUUUCCUAAAUGACACAAAGGUAUUUCAAGUUCCCAAAAGUGCUUCUUGAUAUCUUAUACUUUAAUGUUAUGUAACAGAUUAGUUAAAUGCAGGCCUUCUGGAGAGUUAGAAUUGAAGCGGCAUAUGCAUUAGCAGUUACAGCAUCUGAGGUAUGCUUCUGUAAUGUUUGCUACUAUCUCUCAGUUAUAUAUUAUUGCUUUACAGAUUCAGAGAUAAUUCCAUUUUGAGAUAUUUGAAGACCAAAAGUUUACACAUUGUUAGUAGUUGACUAUUUCUUGUAUUGAAUUAUUCUUUUAUGAAUGAAUGGCCUACCCAACUGUUGCUGCUGUUGUAUUUGUGAAUGAAAAGGCUGUUAUUUAGGCUCUUUAUGGGUUUUAUAAGAUUCAUGUCAACAUGUCAUAGUUGUCCAGCAAAGUAGCUUCUGCAUAUGUAGGUUCUUAAUGAUGUAGCUUCUGUGUAGUUCUUCAUUUCAAGAAUUGAUGUAUUUUUGCUAGUAGGUUCUUAAUGAUGUGAUGACAAUCAAAGAAAAGCAGACGAAAGUAUUCAGAUAAAAUUAACGAUGAAAAUGAAACUAGAAUGUUCCAGGAAGUUCUCCUUGCUCUUGCAUUUUGUACCUUCUUUUGCUGCUCCUGCAAGCCAUGUAGAUUGGCAGUAGUGAACAGUUAUGUAAAUGAGCCACUAAUUGACAGUACUGAAGCAUCUUAUCAUAUAUUACUUUAUACAUUUCAUGUUGUGAUAUAUGCAUUUGUUUUACACUGCUCAAUAGCAAAUGGGAUGUUUGGCAGUUCUUUCUGUUUUUUCUGGAAAUCUUGUUUGGAUGCAUCGAUUUUGCACCAGUAUCUUACAUGAAUUUAAUAUUUUGCUUCAUUCAGGCAACUGGUUUAGCUGGGUUGCUUCAUCUGGUUAAGUUCUAUAAAAGCCGCCGUUUUGAUGCAGAUAUUGGAAUGCCCAGGUCCAGAUCUGCACUGUGCAUAACUUUUUUUUUCCUUCUCAAGAGCUAUUAUGUAUCAUUGUUCUUUCUUUGCACUUAAGGUUAAUUAAGUACCAUUCUGUUUUAUUGAUAGGCCGAACGACUUCCAUGAUAUCCCGGAGUACUUUGUUCUUGAGGUAAUGCUUUGAGGUAGGAAUUGUUAUGUGAGUAUCCAUGGCAAAAUAAUGCACUGUAGAGCACUGUUACAACGUUUCAUGUAUCCGAAACUAUUAUAUUAGUUUGUCAGAUGCAUAUUUUGAUAAAAUAAUGUAGAACAUAUUAGAAUUCGUUUCUAUAACCCGUGAUAGAAUGGUGUGUCAUUAGAAAAUAAAAAAUGGUUAUUCUAUUCUUGUCUACUCAGCAAGCAACCACUAAUCCUUUACAUAUCCAGAUUAUUACCUGUAUACACUGUACGUCUUUUGCAUGUAUGUUCCAGAAUCUCACCCAUUUACCUUUUCUGUGCAAUAUCAUUCCAUUCUAAUUAUUCUCAAUAAGAAAUGGAAGAAUUAAGAUAAUAAGCCCAGUAGUUAUUGUUUGUCUUGAAAUGAAAUAAAGAGUGCAUAUCUCACUCAUACAAACUAUAUGGUCAAAUAUACGAUUUAUUUGUCUACCUACCUUGAUUGAUGUAAUGCCUAGUGGCCUUAUAUAAUCUAUUGUAUGAAAGUCCAAUUGAGAUGCAACAUUUGAUCUUUAUUUGCCUUUUGAAGUAAUUCAAAACUGUGCCUUGUGCAUGGGGCUUCACUUUUUUCUUUUAUUUUCUUUUUGCUGCAAAUGGAAAUGUUCGACAAGAGAAUGUCUAAAUCUGAUAGAAACUAUACUUUUUGGGGUUCCCUCAACCUUAUGUUUGAGCAUUUCAUUGUUUGCAAAAGUAUAGCUGAACAAUUUAAAUUUGGUUUCUGCUGAUCGUAUUCAGUUAUUGUGUCUUAGCCAUUGUUGUUUGUAGCAUACAAGCACUAAUGAAAUAUAUGGUUUUUUUUAUGUUCCUUUUAUUAGGCAAUCCCCCAUGCGGUAGCUCUUGUUAGAUCAUCAGACAAGAAUAGCCCAAAGGAAGCCAUUGAGUUCAUUAUUCAGCUCCUGAAGGUUGCUGCAAUUUUCUGGUUUCCAUUUUAUUUAACUUUUAUCUAUGACCCAGUAACCAUAUAACUUUCAUUUUUCGUAAAUCAUUGAGUAGUUCAUCAUUCAUGAUUAUUUAGUACUCCCUCCGUUUCAAAUUGUAGGUUGUUUUGCCUUUUCUAGGUUCAUAGAUGUUUAUAUGCAUCUAGACAUACACUUUAUUUAGAUGCAUACAAACACCUAUGAACCUAGAAAAGCCAAAACGACCUGCAAUUUGGAACGGAGGGAGUAUAUAUUCAUAUUGCUUUCAUAAUUCUCAGAUGUUUGCAAAUUUUUGUGUGCUCCAUUUUCAGUACAAUGAUAACAACGGAAAUAUUUACUCUGAUGUGUACUGGCUGUCUGCAAUGGUCCAGGCAAUAGGCGAACUGGAAUUAGGCCAGCAGGUUUGUACAGAUGCAUAUCAUGUAGUAAAGUAUGGCUUAUAUUUACUUUUAGAUGCAUUCCACAAAUCAGUUCAUGCAAGAUUGAUUGGAUGCAUGGUGAGAACAAAAUAAUUUGAUGACUAAUUAUGAAAAUCUGUUCACUUUCAUGGAAUUAAGGUAAUCUGUUCGAGAUAGAGUUUGGUUAACUAUACUAAAGGACAUACUGAAUUGUUUUGUAUACCUGUGUGCUGGUAUAAAUCUAGUGCUUUAUUUAUUCAAUCUUGUGGAAAUUUACACUGGAGAUUUGUCUGCACAACAUUAGGACAAUCCGAAUUCCGAACAGAUAAAAGUGGAUCCCAUCCUAACCAGCUUCUAAUCAAAGCAGAGACAAUGUUGUUUUACACUUCUGCUUUUUUGCUACAGAAAAUGAAAUAAAACCAGAUAUUGUUGGGGUUUUUACCACCCAUGCCUUUGAAAUGUUGCCUGAUGCUGUUUUAGUGCUGUUGUCAAAUUUCAUUCAAGGUACUGAUGACUGUAUCAAAAUAACCUUGAGCUUUUCCACAGGGCAUGGGGUUCCUAUCCUCUCUACUCAAGCGAAUUGAUCGACUCUUGCAAUUUGACAAGUUUGUGGAACUUCACCCCACCAGCGUUAUUAUUUACAUCUUGUCCUGUUCUGAAAGUUUGUAAUAAUUUGCCUGAAAACCUUUGUGCAGCUUUAUGCCUGGUUACAAUGGGGUCUUGACUGUCAGCUGCAUUCGUACCCUUGCACGCAUAGCAAGGAGGGUGUCACCUUCCAUAUGCCUUGUAAGAAAGUUUCCAUCUAUGUUUCCCACAUUUUCUCCAGUAGUAACUAUGCUUUUCAUAGCGCAUAACUGCAUGCCACAUUCACUUAUCAUUGCAGGAUCGCAUUUGUGAACUAAUUGCCCCCUUUCGCAACAUGGACAAACCAUGGAAAGUUCGAAUUGAAGCUAGCAGGGUUCUUAUUGAUCUUGAGUUACACCAUAAAGGCCUUGAUGCAGCUCUUUUAUUGUUCUUGAAAUAUGUGGAUGAAGAAAAGUCUUUGCGAGGUUGGCUUGCUGGAGUACUUUGAAGCUUAUUUUGUAUGCUUUGAUUUCUUUUGACACCGAAUUCUUGCAGGGGCGACAAAGUUGGCUGUUCACGUCUUGCGUUUAUGUCAAGCAAGUAUUGUUCCUCACGUUAAUGAUCAAAUAAGUUUGACAACUCUAAUUGGUCUUCUUCACCUGCUUGCUGGCGCAAAGGCAUACAACAACAUAUUUCUUCGUCAUCAUGUGUUCUGCAUAUUGCAAGUUGCCGCUGGAAGGUUAGAAAAUUUGUUAUUGCACAUGUUUUCAUUAUUUUGUUCUGUUGAUUAACCUUUGCGUAUAAUUUGGUAUUCUGCGAUCCAGAAAAGUGUUUGCAUUUUUUUUUCCCAUCAAUACGACAACAAUACCUUCAUGCUGCUGGUGUAUCCAUGUACCAGAAGCUGAGAUCUGGUCAAAACAACUGGAUCAAUGUUUCGGCGGGUUUACAACAAAAUGAUUCGAUACUUCCUUACUGGUUUACAAAGUCAAACAUUUGAACUUUGGCCAUCAAUAUCUAAAAUUGUUUAUAAGUUGACGUGACUAUAUUCAACAUGAAAAAUACUCUGAUACUCCCUCUGUCCCAAAUUGUUGGUCGUUUUGGCAUUUCUAUGUUCAUAGCUUUUGCUAUGAACCUAAAUAUACACUAUGUCUAGAUAUAUAGUAAAAUCUAUGAAUCUAGAAAUGCCAAAAUGGCCUACAAUUUGGAACGAGGAAGUAGUAUAUACCUUCUGAUCACAAGGGACAUUUUGGACAUCAACAUGGUCCCCUAAACACAACUUUUACUAGUACUUAUUACAAAAUUGUUGUAGAAGCAUUUUAUUAUGGAACUACUACCUCCGUUCUCGAAUAUAUGAUGUUUAGGACAAGCUGGCUAGUUCAUUUUGAAAUAAGUAGCUUGUCCUAAAUGUUAUAUAUUUAAGAACGGAGGAAGUACAUUUCAAGAGAAAUCUACCUGUACCAUGUUCAAAUAUGAUGAAUUGGUCUCACUAGGUUGCAACACACAUUUAGAGGAAACUCUAGUUUUGCAAAUACAUUCCAAAAGCUGAAAUCCUCUUGUGGCCAUCCUUUGAUGCUGCAAUAACUAGAGCAGGAGUGAGAAAAUACAUUUCUCGGCUGGGCUCUGGUUGAGCUCUUCUUAGUGUAAUACUGUGGGGGCAGUCUUUCCCCCACUGGCCGAGUUUUUUUUUAUCAAGAAUUCCGUGCAAGGUCCUAGCAACACGGUACCGUAACUUCAUUGGCUGGGCCUGUACUGCAGCACCAUCCAUGUCUCCACCCUGCCUUGAAGGAUAGUGACAGCCACUUCAAUAGACAUGCAUUACUUGGGAGAUAGCGAAUGACCCAAAAAAAAA